UUGAAACACCAGUUCCCAUACAAUCACCAAAGUUAAACAACAUUGAGCUUGUUAAGUACCUAAAUAAGUGACCACUUUGGAAUAUCAGGUGCUGUAAG
Molecule: non-coding RNA, 98 nt
Organism: Acanthosepion pharaonis
Lineage: Eukaryota; Metazoa; Mollusca; Cephalopoda; Sepiida; Sepiidae
Source: the annotation of a GenBank genome assembly